GACAGAGGUGCCGAGCGUUAGGCGGAAUCACUGGGCUUAAAGCGUGUGUAGGCGGGUCGUUAAGUGCCUUGUGAAAUCCCACGGCUCAACCGUGGAACUGCUGGGCAUACUGGCGAUCUUGAGCCAGCUAGGGGCUACUGGAACAAACGGUGGAGCGGUGAAAUGCGUAGAUAUCGUUUGGAACGCCAACGGUGAAAACAGGUAGCUGGGGCUGUGCUGACGCUGAGACACGAAAGCCAGGGGAG
Molecule: ribosomal RNA, 245 nt
Filed under: uncultured bacterium
Lineage: Bacteria
Description: partial 16S ribosomal RNA
Rfam family: Bacterial small subunit ribosomal RNA
Source: RNAcentral